GAUGAACGCUGGCGGCGUGCCUAACACAUGCAAGUCGAGCGAUUCUCUUCGGAGAAGAGCGGCGGACGGGUGAGUAACGCGUGGGUAACCUGCCCUGUACACACGGAUAACAUACCGAAAGGUAUGCUAAUACGAGAUAAUAUGCUUUUAUCGCAUGGUAGAAGUAUCAAAGCUUUUGCGGUACAGGAUGGACCCGCGUCUGAUUAGCUAGUUGGUAAGGUAACGGCUUACCAAGGCGACGAUCAGUAGCCGACCUGAGAGGGUGAUCGGCCACAUUGGAACUGAGACACGGUCCAAACUCCUACGGGAGGCAGCAGUGGGGAAUAUUGCACAAUGGGCGAAAGCCUGAUGCAGCAACGCCGCGUGAGCGAUGAAGGCCUUCGGGUCGUAAAGCUCUGUCCUCAAGGAAGAUAAUGACGGUACUUGAGGAGGAAGCCCCGGCUAACUACGUG
Molecule: ribosomal RNA, 452 nt
Filed under: uncultured bacterium
Lineage: Bacteria
Also listed under: 2 other names
Description: bacterial SSU rRNA
Rfam family: Bacterial small subunit ribosomal RNA
Source: RNAcentral